CCUACGGGGGGCUGCAGUGAGGAAUAUUGGUCAAUGGGCGCGAGUCUGAACCAGCCAAGUAGCGUGAAGGAUGACUGCCCUAUGGGUUGUAAACUUCUUUUAUAAGGGAAUAAAGUGAGGGACGUGUCCCUUUUUGUAUGUACCUUAUGAAUAAGGAUCGGCUAACUCCGUGCCAGCAGCCGCGGUAAUACGGAGGAUCCAAGCGUUAUCCGGAUUUAUUGGGUUUAAAGGGAGCGUAGGUUGACAUAUAAGUCAGCUGUGAAAGUUUACGGCUCAACCGUGAAAUUGCAGUUGAUACUGUAUGUCUUGAGUGUACAAGAGGUGGGCGGAAUUCGUGGUGUAGCGGUGAAAUGCUUAGAUAUCACGAAGAACUCCAAUUGCGAAGGCAGCUCACUGGGGUACAACUGACACUGAGGCUCGAAGGUGUGGGUAUCAAACAGGAUUAGAUACCCCAGUAGUC
RNAcentral lists this ribosomal RNA (460 nucleotides) under uncultured Bacteroides sp. RNAcentral describes it as "bacterial SSU rRNA". It matches the Rfam family "Bacterial small subunit ribosomal RNA", at positions 338 to 795 of the family's 1533-position model. The record is from RNAcentral. Lineage: Bacteria; Pseudomonadati; Bacteroidota; Bacteroidia; Bacteroidales; Bacteroidaceae.